RNAcentral lists this ribosomal RNA (445 nucleotides) under uncultured bacterium. Its description in RNAcentral is "bacterial SSU rRNA". It matches the Rfam family "Bacterial small subunit ribosomal RNA", at positions 330 to 792 of the family's 1533-position model. The record is from RNAcentral.
GCCAGACUCCUACGGGAGGCAGCAGUGGGGAAUAUUGCACAAUGGGGGAAACCCUGAUGCAGCGACGCCGCGUGAGUGAAGAAGUAAUUCGUUAUGUAAAGCUCUAUCAGCAGGGAAGAAAAUGACGGUACCUGAGUAAGAAGCCCCGGCUAACUACGUGCCAGCAGCCGCGGUAAUACGUAGGGGGCAAGCGUUAUCCGGAUUUACUGGGUGUAAAGGGAGCGUAGACGGCCAGACAAGUCAGAAGUGAAAGCCCAGGGCUCAACCCUGGGACUGCUUUUGAAACUGCCGGGCUGGAGUGCAGGAGAGGUAAGCGGAAUUCCUAGUGUAGCGGUGAAAUGCGUAGAUAUCAGGAGGAACACCGGUGGCGAAGGCGGCCUGCUGGACUGCGACUGACGUUGAGGCCCGAAAGCGUGGGGAGCAAACAGGAUUAGAUACCCGAGUA